RNAcentral lists this ribosomal RNA (683 nucleotides) under uncultured fungus. RNAcentral describes it as "eukaryotic LSU rRNA". The stretch from base 216 to 369 matches the Rfam family "5.8S ribosomal RNA". Lineage: Eukaryota; Fungi. The record is from RNAcentral.
CUUGGUCAUUUAGAGGAAGUAAAAGUCGUAACAAGGUUUCCGUAGGUGAACCUGCGGAAGGAUCAUUCAUAAUAAGUGUUUUAUGGCACUUUUUAAAUCCAUAUCCACCUUGUGUGCAAUGUCAGUCGAUCUUCUUCAUGGAGAUCGACCAAACAUCAACCUUUAUCUUUUAACUCUUUGUCUGAAAAAUAUUAUGAAUAAACAAUUCAAAAUACAACUUUCAACAACAGAUCUCUUGGCUCUCGCAUCGAUGAAGAACGCAGCGAAAUGCGAUACGUAAUGUGAAUUGCAGAAUUCAGUGAAUCAUCGAAUCUUUGAACGCAUAUUGCGCUCUUUGGUAUUCCGAAGAGCAUGCUUGUUUGAGUAUCAGUAAACACCUCAAAGCUUUUGGAUUUUUUAAUCGAAAAGCUUUGGACUUGAGCAAUCCCAACACCAAUCUUUUUGAGGUCGGUGGCGGGUUGCUUGAAAUGCAGGUGCAGCUGGACAUUCUCCUGAGCUAAAAGCAUAUUCAUUUAGUCCCGUCAAACGGAUUAUUACUUUUGCUGCAGCUAACAUAAACGGAGUUUGACCGUAUUGGCUGACUGAUGCAGGAUUUCACAAGGGUCGGCAACGAUUCUUGUUAAACUCGAUCUCAAAUCAAGUAAGACUACCCGCUGAACUUAAGCAUAUCAAUAAGCGGAGGA